GGCCCUACGGGGCGCAGCAGGCGCGAAAACUUUACAAUGCGGGGAACCGCGAUAAGGGGACACCGAGUGCCAGCAUCCUAUGUUGGCUGUCCAUAUGUCUAAAUCGCAUAUGUUAGCAAGGGCCGGGCAAGACCGGUGCCAGCCGCCGCGGUAAUACCGGCGGCUCGAGUGGUGGCCGCUAUUACUGGGCUUAAAGGGUCCGUAGCUUGAUAACUGGGUCCCUUGAGAAAUCCGCCAGCUUAAUUGGCGGGCGUUCAGGGGAAACUUGUUUUCUAGGGACCGGGAGAGGUGAGGGGUACUGCCGGGGUAGGAGUGAAAUCCUGUAAUCCCGGUGGGACCACCUAUGGCGAAGGCAUCUCACCAGAACGGGUCCGACAGUGAGGGACGAAAGCUAGGGGCACGAACCGGAUUAGAUACCCGGGUAGUCCUAGCCGUAAACGAUACUCGCUAGGUGUCGGCCACGGUGCGACCGUUGUCGGUGCCGUAGGGAAGCCGUGAAGCGAGCCACCUGGGAAGUACGGCCGCAAGGCUGAAACUUAAAGGAAUUGGCGGGGGAGCACCACAACGGGUGGAGCUUGCGGUUUAAUUGGAUUCAACGCCGGAAAUCUUA
RNAcentral lists this ribosomal RNA (610 nucleotides) under uncultured archaeon. RNAcentral's name for it is "bacterial SSU rRNA". It matches the Rfam family "Archaeal small subunit ribosomal RNA", at positions 319 to 929 of the family's 1478-position model. The record is from RNAcentral.